GAUGAACGCUGGCGGCGUGCCUAAUACAUGCAAGUCGAGCGAACGGACGAGAAGCUUGCUUCUCUGAUGUUAGCGGCGGACGUGUGAGUAACACGUGGAUAACCUACCUAUAAGACUGGUAUAACUUCGGGACACCGGCGCUAAUACCGGAUAAUAUUUUGAACCGCAUGGUUCAAAAGUGAAAGACGGUCUUUCUGGCACGUAUAGAUGGAUCCGCGCUGCAUUAGCUAGUUGGUAAGGUAACGGCUUACCAAGGCAACGAUGCAUAGCCGACCUGAGAGGGUGAUAGGCCACACUGGAACUGAGACACGGUCCAGACUCCUACGAGAGGCAGCAGUAGGGAAUCUUACGCAAUGGGCGAGAGCAUGACGGAGCGACGCCGCGUGAGUGAUGACGAUCUUCGGAUCGUAAAGCUCUGUUAUUAGGGAAGAACAGAUGUGUAAGUAACUGUGCACAUCUUGACGGUACCUAAUCAGAAAGCCACGGCUAACUACGUG
Molecule: ribosomal RNA, 497 nt
Filed under: uncultured bacterium
Lineage: Bacteria
Description: partial 16S ribosomal RNA
Rfam family: Bacterial small subunit ribosomal RNA
Source: RNAcentral